GAUGAACGCUGGCGGCGUGCCUAAUACAUGCAAGUCGAGCGAACAGACGAGGAGCUUGCUCCUCUGACGUUAGCGGCGGACGGGUGAGUAACACGUGGAUAACCUACCUAUAAGACUGGGAUAACUUCGGGAAACCGGAGCUAAUACCGGAUAAUAUAUUGAACCGCAUGGUUCAAUAGUGAAAGACGGUUUUGCUGUCACUUAUAGAUGGAUCCGCGCCGCAUUAGCUAGUUGGUAAGGUAACGGCUUACCAAGGCGACGAUGCGUAGCCGACCUGAGAGGGUGAUCGGCCACACUGGAACUGAGACACGGUCCAGACUCCUACGGGAGGCAGCAGUAGGGAAUCUUCCGCAAUGGGCGAAAGCCUGACGGAGCAACGCCGCGUGAGUGAUGAAGGUCUUCGGAUCGUAAAACUCUGUUAUUAGGGAAGAACAAAUGUGUAAGUAACUAUGCACGUCUUGACGGUACCUAAGCAGAAAGCCACGGCUAACUACGU
This 496-nucleotide ribosomal RNA is filed under the name uncultured bacterium. RNAcentral describes it as "partial 16S ribosomal RNA". It matches the Rfam family "Bacterial small subunit ribosomal RNA", at positions 28 to 506 of the family's 1533-position model. The record is from RNAcentral.